Molecule: non-coding RNA, 27 nt
Filed under: Mus musculus (house mouse)
Lineage: Eukaryota; Metazoa; Chordata; Mammalia; Rodentia; Muridae
Source: RNAcentral
UAGGGUGUUCAGCGAGAAGGCCUGCCU